Molecule: ribosomal RNA, 253 nt
Filed under: uncultured bacterium
Lineage: Bacteria
Description: partial 16S ribosomal RNA
Rfam family: Bacterial small subunit ribosomal RNA
Source: RNAcentral
UACGGAGGGGGCUAGCGUUGUUCGGAAUUACUGGGCGUAAAGCGCGCGUAGGCGGAUUUUUAAGCCAGAGGUGAAAUCCCGGGGCUCAACCCCGGAAUUGCCUUCAAAACUCCUGGUCUUGAGUUCGAGAGAGGUGAGUGGAAUUCCGAGUGUAGAGGUGAAAGUCGUAGAUAUUGGGAAGAACACCAGUGGCGAAGGCGGCUCACUGGCACGAUACUGACGCUGAGGUGCGAAAGCGUGGGGAGCAAACAGG